RNAcentral lists this transfer RNA (70 nucleotides) under Marmota monax (woodchuck). Its description in RNAcentral is "tRNA.Lys". It matches the Rfam family "tRNA", at positions 5 to 66 of the family's 71-position model. From Rfam's summary of the family: Transfer RNA (tRNA) molecules are approximately 80 nucleotides in length. Their secondary structure includes four short double-helical elements and three loops (D, anti-codon, and T loops). The record is from RNAcentral. Lineage: Eukaryota; Metazoa; Chordata; Mammalia; Rodentia; Sciuridae.
GAAAUAUAGCUCAGUUGGUAGAGUACUUGCCUCUUAUGUACAAGGCCCUGGGUUCAAUCCCAAGUAUACA